RNAcentral lists this ribosomal RNA (376 nucleotides) under uncultured bacterium. Its description in RNAcentral is "bacterial SSU rRNA". It matches the Rfam family "Bacterial small subunit ribosomal RNA", at positions 524 to 898 of the family's 1533-position model. The record is from RNAcentral.
UACGUAGGUGGCGAGCGUUGUCCGGAAUUACUGGGCGUAAAGGGCGCGCAGGCGGCCUGUCAAGUCAGAUGUGAAAUCCCCGGGCUUAACCCGGGAACUGCAUUUGAAACUGGCGGGCUUGAGGGCAGGAGAGGGAAGCGGAACUCCCAGUGUAGCGGUGAAAUGCGUAGAUAUUGGGAGGAACACCAGUGGCGAAGGCGGCUUUCUGGACUGUACCUGACGCUGAGGCGCGAAAGCCAGGGGAGCGAACGGGAUUAGAUACCCCGGUAGUCCUGGCUGUAAACGAUGGGUACUAGGUGUUGGAGGUAUCGACCCCUUCAGUGCCGCAGUUAACGCAAUAAGUACCCCGCCUGGGGAGUACGGCCGCAAGGUUGAA